This 440-nucleotide ribosomal RNA is filed under the name uncultured bacterium. RNAcentral's name for it is "partial 16S ribosomal RNA". It matches the Rfam family "Bacterial small subunit ribosomal RNA", at positions 338 to 795 of the family's 1533-position model. The record is from RNAcentral.
CCUACGGGCGGCAGCAGUGGGGGAUAUUGCACAAUGGGGGAAACCCUGAUGCAGCGACGCCGCGUGAGUGCAGAAGUAUUUCGGUAUGUAAAGCUCUAUCAGCAGGGAAGAAAAUGACAGUACCUGACCAAUAAGCCCCGGCUAACUACGUGCCAGCAGCCGCGGUAAUACGUCGGGGGCAAGCGUUAUCCGGAUUUCCUGGGUGUAAAGGGCGCGUAGUCGGUGAUGUAAGUCUGAGGUGAAAGCCCGUGGCCUAACCCUGGGACUGCGUUGGAAACUGUUUAACUGGAGUACAGGAGGGGCAGGUGGAAUUCCUGGUGUAGCGGUGAAAUGCGUAGAUAUCAGGAGGAACACCGGCGGCGAAGGCGGCCUGCUGGACUGAAACUGACGUUGAGGCUCGAAAGCGUGGGGAGCAAACAGGAUUAGAUACCCGUGUAGUC